RNAcentral lists this unclassified non-coding RNA (586 nucleotides) under Stachybotrys chartarum. RNAcentral describes it as "sequence contains 18S rRNA gene, ITS1, 5.8S rRNA gene, ITS2, 28S rRNA gene". The stretch from base 204 to 357 matches the Rfam family "5.8S ribosomal RNA". Lineage: Eukaryota; Fungi; Ascomycota; Sordariomycetes; Hypocreales; Stachybotryaceae. The record is from RNAcentral.
UCGUAACAAGGUCUCCGUUGGUGAACCAGCGGAGGGAUCAUUACCGAGUUUACAACUCCCAAACCCUUAUGUGAACCGUACCUAUCGUUGCUUCGGCGGGAACGCCCCGGCGCCCUGCGCCCGGAUCCAGGCGCCCGCCGGAGACCCCAAACUCUUGUGUUUUUUUCAGUAUUCUCUGAGUGGCAAACGCAAAAAUAAAUCAAAACUUUUAACAACGGAUCUCUUGGCUCUGGCAUCGAUGAAGAACGCAGCGAAAUGCGAUAAGUAAUGUGAAUUGCAGAAUUCAGUGAAUCAUCGAAUCUUUGAACGCACAUUGCGCCCGUUAGCAUUCUAGCGGGCAUGCCUGUCCGAGCGUCAUUUCAACCCUCAGGGUCCCCGUUCCGGCGGGGAACCUGGUGUUGGGGAUCGGCCCGCCCCGCGCGGCGCCGUCCCCCAAAUUCAGUGGCGGUCUCGCUGCAGCCUCCCCUGCGUAGUAGUUACAACCUCGCAUCGGAGCUCAGCGCGGCCACGCCGUAAAACCCCCGACUUUCUGAACGUUGACCUCGGAUCAGGUAGGAAUACCCGCUGAACUUAAGCAUAUCAAUAA